GACGAACGCUGGCGGCGUGCUUAACACAUGCAAGUCGAGCGGAGAGACUUUUCGGCACCGGCUGCUGAGGCAGAGCGGAAGUGGAAGCGAAGGGCGGAGCGAGAGCGAGGCAGGGAGCGGAAGCGGAAGUGAGGGACUGGAAGUGCGGGUUACGGCCAACACGGAAGGCAGGAUGUCACAGGAGCAGGUGCUGAGAAGACUUUUAGCGGCGGACGGGUGAGUAACGCGUGAACAAUCUGUCCCGAACAGGGGGAUAACAGAUGGAAACAUCUGCUAAUACCGCAUAAGACCACGCACCCGCAUGGGUGUGGGGUAAAAGGAGCAAUCCGGUUUGGGGUGAGUUCGCGUCUGAUUAGCUAGUUGGCGGGGUAACGGCUCACCAAGGCGACGAUCAGUAGCCGACCUGAGAGGGUGAUCGGCCACACUGGAACUGAGAAACGGUCCAGACUCCUACGGGAGGCAGCAGUGGGGAAUAUUGGGCAAUGGGCGAAAGCCUGACCG
Molecule: ribosomal RNA, 501 nt
Filed under: uncultured bacterium
Lineage: Bacteria
Description: bacterial SSU rRNA
Rfam family: Bacterial small subunit ribosomal RNA
Source: RNAcentral